UAUUAAUUUUAUUUUAUGAUAUGAUUUUGAAUUAUAAUCGAAACAUUUUAGCUAAUAACAUAGGAGUGCACCAUAUUUAUUUAAUAGGGGAAUGUACCAUAUGACCCGAAUGCACUUUUAUCCAAAUCAACCAAAAAAGUCUUGCAAAAAUACUUUAGAGAUAAUAAACGAUAGUUGGUUUGAUAGGUAUAAGAUUAACAAAUAUAUUAGUUAGCUUAAAUUAGUUAAAGAAUACAAAUUGAAAAGGUAUAUUACACUUUAUUCGAAUAUAGUAUCAAAACUUAUAUAACACAGAGAUUUGAUAAAUUUUUAAUUGUUGAAUACUUUUUUUUUGUGCUAAUUUUUUUGUGAUUAAGAUUUAAUUAAUUUCGUAUAUAAAAUAUUAAAUUGUUUUACGAACUUAUUUGUUUAUAAUUUGGUAACAGAUAGAUAUUUGAAUAUUUGAUAUAUUUUGCUUCAGUUUAGAAAAUCUUUGAUGACCUGUCUUUAGAUCCAAUAAGCCCUAUAAUUAAGAAAUGAAUAUUGU
This 526-nucleotide small RNA is filed under the name Arabidopsis thaliana (thale cress). Its description in RNAcentral is "ATSL212580". Lineage: Eukaryota; Viridiplantae; Streptophyta; Magnoliopsida; Brassicales; Brassicaceae. The record is from RNAcentral.